GGGGUUAUAGCUCAGUGGUAGAGUGCUUGCCUAGCAUGCAUGAUUUCAGGGUUCGAGCCCCGGCACCA
Molecule: transfer RNA, 68 nt
Filed under: Ictidomys tridecemlineatus (thirteen-lined ground squirrel)
Lineage: Eukaryota; Metazoa; Chordata; Mammalia; Rodentia; Sciuridae
Description: Spermophilus tridecemlineatus (thirteen-lined ground squirrel) tRNA
Rfam family: tRNA
About the family: Transfer RNA (tRNA) molecules are approximately 80 nucleotides in length. Their secondary structure includes four short double-helical elements and three loops (D, anti-codon, and T loops).
Source: Rfam by way of RNAcentral